UGGAUGAUCGCGGCUGCAAGUGCCGAAAGGCCGCAGGUGAGGAAAGUCCGGGCUCCAUAGAGCAGGGUGCCAGAUAACGUCUGGUGGAGGUGACUCCAAGGAAAGUGCAACAGAAAUAAACUGCCAUACUUUGUAUGGUGAUGGUGGAAAGGCAGUGUAAGAGACUACCGCAGCUCUGGUAACAGAGAUGGCUAUGUAAACCCCAUCCGGAGCAAGACCAAAAAAAGGCGAUACGGCUGCUCGUCGUGUCUUUAGGUAGGUCGCUUGAUCCUGUUGGCGACAGCAGGGCUAGAUAGAUGAUCAUCACGCACAGAGUGCGUACAUAACCCGGCUUAUAGCAUCGCUCGU
Molecule: RNase P RNA, 348 nt
Filed under: uncultured Lachnospira sp.
Lineage: Bacteria; Bacillati; Bacillota; Clostridia; Lachnospirales; Lachnospiraceae
Description: Bacterial RNase P class A
Rfam family: Bacterial RNase P class A
About the family: Ribonuclease P (RNase P) is a ubiquitous endoribonuclease, found in archaea, bacteria and eukarya as well as chloroplasts and mitochondria. Its best characterised activity is the generation of mature 5'-ends of tRNAs by cleaving the 5'-leader elements of precursor-tRNAs.
Source: RNAcentral